UGUGAGCGAGUCCGCCUCUGAAACACACCCCCAUCUGGCAAAAAUUAACCAAAAAAAAGGGAGGGAAGGAAGAAAGGAAGGAAAAAGGAGAGAGAAAAAGUCAGUCAGUCUGAGCUAAACAGAGAAGCUAAACAGAUCAGAAAGGUGUUGAUGAGGCAAAAUCAAUAGAGAUUUCACAUGAAAUAUCAACAUGUCUUCAAGGAUAACCUGGUACUCACAACACACCUUUACAACAAGAAAUUGACAACAAGCAGGUUAAUGACUUUUCGGCAAUUUAAAGUGUACUUAAGUUUAGUCACUGUCUAAGAAAAUCUGAGGUGCCCUGAAAUCACAGACCUCCCAUAAGAAACUCAUGUCAGGUUUCCUCAAAUUUAGCAAUACUAAAAAUUGACAUGUUACUACC
This is a long non-coding RNA of Tupaia belangeri chinensis (Chinese tree shrew), 403 nucleotides long. RefSeq lists it as uncharacterized. NCBI's taxonomy places the organism in Eukaryota, Metazoa, Chordata, Mammalia, Scandentia, Tupaiidae. The record is from RefSeq and is a predicted model, not a curated record. The transcript has 3 exons.